GAAAUGCGAUAAGUAGUGUGAAUUGCAGAAUUCAGUGAAUCAUCGAAUCUUUGAACGCACAUUGCGCCCUUUGGUAUUCCGAAGGGCAUACCUGUUCGAGCGUCAUUUCAACCCUCAAGCCUGUUGUGCUUGGUCUUGGGCGUCUUGUCUCUUGCGAGACUCGCCUCAAAGUAAUCGGCUGCUAGUACCUUGACUACGGCGCACAGUAGAAUGUUGCUGCCCGGUCGCACGGUCGCUCAGCGGGCUGUAUCAACUUAUUAUCUUCGUUUUGACCUCGGAUCAGGUAGGAAUACCCGCUGAACUUAA
Molecule: unclassified non-coding RNA, 306 nt
Filed under: uncultured Ascomycota
Lineage: Eukaryota; Fungi; Ascomycota
Description: sequence contains ITS1
Rfam family: 5.8S ribosomal RNA (bases 1-105)
Source: RNAcentral